RNAcentral lists this ribosomal RNA (255 nucleotides) under uncultured bacterium. Its description in RNAcentral is "partial 16S ribosomal RNA". It matches the Rfam family "Bacterial small subunit ribosomal RNA", at positions 524 to 776 of the family's 1533-position model. The record is from RNAcentral.
UACGUAGGGUGCGAGCGUUGUCCGGAAUUAUUGGGCGUAAAGGGCUCGUAGGCGGUUUGUCGCGUCGGGAGUGAAAUCCACUGGCUUAACUGGUGGCUUGCUUUCGAUACGGGCAGACUGGAGGUAUGCAGGGGAGAACGGAAUUCCUGGUGUAGCGGUGGAAUGCGCAGAUAUCAGGAGGAACACCGGUGGCGAAGGCGGGUCUCUGGGCAGUGAACUGACGCUGGAGGAGCGAAAGCGUGGGGAGCGAACAGG